GGAAGAAGAAGGAAGCCAAAGUAUCUGAUGCACUGGAGAAUGAAAACCCGUUCAAAAUCAGAAGUAUAGAGAAGUUUUCUGUAAAAUGGAAAUGAGUAUCAUGAAGUUUUAAAUGAACAGUGUAAAACAGAAGACAUCAGCAUUCAUUAGGUCCCAGACCUCUUUGAGAAUCUGAUGAAAUUCUGGACAACCUCUCCUCCCACAAACAAGAUGUACUAGAAUACCUACACAUAAAAUGUUGCAUUCAAUUUUGGAAUGUGAAGAGAUCAUUUGAAGCCGAUCCAGAGGCCUCUAAGGACUUGACUGGUGCAGUAUUGGUGGCUGCUGGGUCAGAUGAGCUCCCUGCUAUUCCAAGAAACAAUACAUGUUUGCAGCCACUAAGAUUUGAGGACUUUUGUUAUUACUGCCUAUCCUGACAGACUCAGGUGCUACAACUAUUUAAGGGCUGACCGGAUCUCACUCUGGCACCUAGACUGGAGGGUACUGGCAUGAACUCCUGGGCUCAGAUGUCCUCCCACCUCCACCUUCUGAGUAGCCGGAAUUACAGGAAUGAACCAUCAUGCUCAGAUUUCAAGCUCCCUGAAGAUGAAGGCUGAAUCCUACACCUCGCUUGUAUCCUCCAUGGCUCAUUGAACAAGUGCUAGCUAGCUACAUGGAGACUGCUCAAUAAAUAUUGAAUAACUCA
Molecule: long non-coding RNA, 685 nt
Filed under: Homo sapiens (human)
Lineage: Eukaryota; Metazoa; Chordata; Mammalia; Primates; Hominidae
Description: HSALNT0345576
Source: RNAcentral